RNAcentral lists this ribosomal RNA (224 nucleotides) under uncultured Desulfobacterium sp. Its description in RNAcentral is "partial 16S ribosomal RNA". It matches the Rfam family "Bacterial small subunit ribosomal RNA", at positions 1159 to 1382 of the family's 1533-position model. Lineage: Bacteria; Pseudomonadati; Thermodesulfobacteriota; Desulfobacteria; Desulfobacterales; Desulfobacteriaceae. The record is from RNAcentral.
AAACCGGGAGGAAGGUGGGGAUGACGUCAAGUCCUCAUGGCCCUUAUGCCCAGGGCUACACACGUGCUACAAUGGGCGGUACAAAGGGUAGCGAUGCCGCGAGGUGAAGCCAAUCCCAAAAAGCCGUCCACAGUUCGGAUUGGAGUCUGCAACUCGACUCCAUGAAGCCGGAAUCGCUAGUAAUCGUGGAUCAGCAUGCCACGGUGAAUACGUUCCCGGGCCUU